GCUUUAUCAUUUAGUCUUUAGGUAACAGAAUGUUCCAUGGGACGAUGACUAAAUUUGAAGAUUUAGCCAGCGAUGGAUACAAGAACUCUUGGGAGUCUGUGUCUUCUCUUGAGGGAAAGCACAGAUCCUCAUGGAACUCUCUCGAGGGGAAUCCAAGGACGGAGGCCGCCAUCAGCACAACACAGCCUCUCCUACCGGUAACACUGCCACCUUUGGCUCUUGUGAUUCAUGCCGCUACGAACGUCUACCCAGAAGCGUAAUUGCCAGAUCGCAUGGCUGUCUCUGUGCUGAGGACCAGCCUGAAAUGUAAACUUCGGGUCUUCUCAGAGAUCUUUUCCAAGCCUUUCCCUGGGCAAGUACAAUCACUUUCUGAUUUUCCCCGUGUAUGUAGUUGCUUCUGAACGUUCCAGUCUUUAACAUCUGGCUCCCAAAAGGAGAAAUAGGGAAAAAUGAAGGGAAGGGUAGUAAUGGCACCAGCUUUUUAAAUCUCCAAGAAGUCACUUGAGCCAGAUAGGGUCCCGGGUGGAUCACUUGCCGCAGUGAGGACAGGUACAAAGCAAUGACUGCCUGCUUCUUUGUCUGCACGUCUGUGAUCAGAAGCAGCAACCAGCAACCUGGUAUUUGGAGUACUGGGUCCUUUUUGUCCCCCUUGGCUCCCACAGGCUCUGAACAGGUGGCUCCAGAAACACACACAUGACUGCCUUCCGCAGGGUGGAGGUGGGGGAUGGGUAACGCUCCGGUGAAAUUAACUGCAAUUUACCAUUCACGGCUUCGCGGGAAGUUGCGCUCUUUCAAUAGUCUGCAGAGUUCCAAAAGAGGUAUAAUCUGGCAAAUUCUGCCAGUGCAAUUGUCUUGAUGGGAAGACAGAUGUCUGGUGCUUUUUA
Acinonyx jubatus (cheetah) is the source of this 884-nucleotide long non-coding RNA. RefSeq lists it as uncharacterized. The record is from RefSeq and is a predicted model, not a curated record. NCBI's taxonomy places the organism in Eukaryota, Metazoa, Chordata, Mammalia, Carnivora, Felidae. The transcript has 3 exons.